UGGGGAAUUUUGGACAAUGGGCGAAAGCCUGAUCCAGCAAUGCCGCGUGUGUGAAGAAGGCCUUCGGGUUGUAAAGCACUUUUGUCCGGAAAGAAAUCCUUGGCUCUAAUACAGUCGGGGGAUGACGGUACCGGAAGAAUAAGCACCGGCUAACUACGUGCCAGCAGCCGCGGUAAUACGUAGGGUGCAAGCGUUAAUCGGAAUUACUGGGCGUAAAGCGUGCGCAGGCGGUUUGCUAAGACCGAUGUGAAAUCCCCGGGCUCAACCUGGGAACUGCAUUGGUGACUGGCAGGCUAGAGUAUGGCAGAGGGGGGUAGAAUUCCACGUGUAGCAGUGAAAUGCGUAGAGAUAUGGAGGAAUACCGAUGGCGAAGGCAGCCCCCUGGGCCAAUACUGACGCUCAUGCACGAAAGCGUGGGGAGCAAACAGGAUUAGAUACCCUGGUAGUCCACGCCCUAAACGAUGUCAACUAGUUGUUGGGGAUUCAUUUCCUUAGUAACGUAGCUAACGCGUGAAGUUGACCGCCUGGGGAGUACGGUCGCAAGAUUAAAACUCAAAGGAAUUGACGGGGUCAUAGCUGUUUCCU
Molecule: ribosomal RNA, 585 nt
Filed under: uncultured bacterium
Lineage: Bacteria
Description: partial 16S ribosomal RNA
Rfam family: Bacterial small subunit ribosomal RNA
Source: RNAcentral